Molecule: non-coding RNA, 155 nt
Organism: Paramuricea clavata
Lineage: Eukaryota; Metazoa; Cnidaria; Anthozoa; Malacalcyonacea; Plexauridae
Source: the annotation of a GenBank genome assembly
CUGCUGCUGCUGCUGCUGCUGCUGCUGCUGCUGCUGCUGCUGCUGCUGCUGCUGCUGCUGCUGCUGCUGCUGCUGCUGCUGCUGCUGCUGCUGCUACUACUACUACUACUACUACUACUACUACUACUACUACCACUACCACUACCACUACUACU